UACCAUAGAUUGCAAUCCGAUUUCAUGG
Molecule: small RNA, 28 nt
Filed under: Bombyx mori (domestic silkworm)
Lineage: Eukaryota; Metazoa; Arthropoda; Insecta; Lepidoptera; Bombycidae
Description: ovarian small RNA-20602
Source: RNAcentral